CGGCAGGAAGGAUGUGAUCAGGGACAAGGCCAGAGCCAUCACCUCUCUUUCAGCCCCUAUCCCAGGGGACACUGUCCUGGAAGACUUGGUGGCUCCAGCUAGGUCCUCCAUGGGGGUGGAGUUACUGAGGAAGAUGGGCUGGAAGGACGGCCAGGGGGUUGGGCCCAGGGUGAAGAGGAGGCUGUGUAAGCAGAGAGCAGAUUCUGCAACAAGGGCGUUCGGCUCGGCCUCGCCUCCCAACGGUUCAUCGGGAUCACAGGAUGAGGAGGACGGAGAGUUCGUCCCUGAGAAC
Oncorhynchus gorbuscha (pink salmon) is the source of this 292-nucleotide long non-coding RNA. RefSeq lists it as uncharacterized. NCBI's taxonomy places the organism in Eukaryota, Metazoa, Chordata, Actinopteri, Salmoniformes, Salmonidae. The record is from RefSeq and is a predicted model, not a curated record. The transcript has 4 exons.